Molecule: ribosomal RNA, 440 nt
Filed under: uncultured bacterium
Lineage: Bacteria
Description: partial 16S ribosomal RNA
Rfam family: Bacterial small subunit ribosomal RNA
Source: RNAcentral
CCUACGGGUGGCAGCAGUGGGGGAUAUUGCACAAUGGGGGGAACCCUGAUGCAGCGACGCCGCGUGGGUGAAGGAGCGUUUCGGCGCGUAAAGCCCUAUCGGCAGGGAAGAAGAUGACGGUACCUGACCAAGAAGCCGCGGCUAACUACGUGCCAGCAGCCGCGGUACUACGUGGGGGGCAAGCGUUAUCCGGAUUAACGGGGUGUAAAGGGGGCGCAGACGGCAAUGCAAGCCAGGAGUGAAAGCCCGGGGGCCAACCCCGGGAGUGCAUUUGAAACUGCCAGGCUGGAGUGCCGGAGAGGUAAGCGGAAUUCCUAGUGUAGCGGUGAAAUGCGUAGAUAUUAGGAGGAACACCAGUGGCGGAGGCGGCAUACUGGACGGUAACUGACGCUGAGGCUCGAAAGCGUGGGGAGCGAACAGGAUUAGAUACCCGGGUAGUC